CGGCGGACGGGUGAGUAACACGUGGGUAACCUGCCUGUAAGACUGGGAUAACUCCGGGAAACCGGGGCUAAUACCGGAUGCUUGAUUGAACCGCAUGGUUCAAUCAUAAAAGGUGGCUUUUAGCUACCACUUGCAGAUGGACCCGCGGCGCAUUAGCUAGUUGGUGAGGUAACGGCUCACCAAGGCGACGAUGCGUAGCCGACCUGAGAGGGUGAUCGGCCACACUGGGACUGAGACACGGCCCAGACUCCUACGGGAGGCAGCAGUAGGGAAUCUUCCGCAAUGGACGAAAGUCUGACGGAGCAACGCCGCGUGAGUGAUGAAGGUUUUCGGAUCGUAAAACUCUGUUGUUAGGGAAGAACAAGUACCGUUCGAAUAGGGCGGUACCUUGACGGUACCUAACCAGAAAGCCACGGCUAACUACGUGCCAGCAGCCGCGGUAAUACGUAGGUGGCAAGCGUUGUCCGGAAUUAUUGGGCGUAAAGCGCGCGCAGGCGGUUUCUUAAGUCUGAUGUGAAAGCCCCCGGCUCAACCGGGGAGGGUCAUUGGAAACUGGGGAACUU
This 563-nucleotide ribosomal RNA is filed under the name Bacillus licheniformis. Its description in RNAcentral is "bacterial SSU rRNA". It matches the Rfam family "Bacterial small subunit ribosomal RNA", at positions 96 to 643 of the family's 1533-position model. Lineage: Bacteria; Bacillati; Bacillota; Bacilli; Caryophanales; Bacillaceae. The record is from RNAcentral.